GGUGUAGCCCAGUCCGGCUAGGGCGCCUGCUUUGGGAGCAGGAUGUCGCAGGUUCGAAUCCUGUCACC
RNAcentral lists this transfer RNA (68 nucleotides) under uncultured Stomatobaculum sp. It matches the Rfam family "tRNA". From Rfam's summary of the family: Transfer RNA (tRNA) molecules are approximately 80 nucleotides in length. The record is from RNAcentral. Lineage: Bacteria; Bacillati; Bacillota; Clostridia; Lachnospirales; Lachnospiraceae.